RNAcentral lists this ribosomal RNA (253 nucleotides) under uncultured bacterium. RNAcentral describes it as "partial 16S ribosomal RNA". It matches the Rfam family "Bacterial small subunit ribosomal RNA", at positions 524 to 776 of the family's 1533-position model. The record is from RNAcentral.
UACAGAGGAUGCAAGCGUUAUCCGGAAUGAUUGGGCGUAAAGCGUCUGUAGGUGGCUUUUUAAGUCCGCCGUCAAAUCCCAGGGCUCAACUCUGGACAGGCGGUGGAAACUACCAAGCUGGAGUACGGUAGGGGCAGAGGGAAUUUCCGGUGGAGCGGUGAAAUGCGUAGAUAUGCGGAGGAACACCGAUGGCGAAGGCAAUCCCCUGGGCCUGCACUGACGCUCAUGCACGAAAGCGUGGGGAGCAAACAGG